Long non-coding RNA from Aedes aegypti (yellow fever mosquito), 570 nucleotides. RefSeq lists it as uncharacterized. The record is from RefSeq and is a predicted model, not a curated record. The transcript has 2 exons. Lineage: Eukaryota; Metazoa; Arthropoda; Insecta; Diptera; Culicidae.
UCAAAAAAAUCCACACGUCAAGGCUACGUGGAAAAUCACGUAGAUUCCAAAAAAAUGAAUUUUUCUCUAGUUUACCUGACGACGGUAACAAUCACCGAGACGUAGAUAUAUAUGAAAUGAACCCUCCAUAACAUUUACUGUUGGAGAACAUCACUCUUACGUGAAAAGAACGUACGGGUGAAUGAACCGAAAUUUUGACAGUUCAACUUCUAGUUCAUUCUGUGUUAUGGUGAGUUGAAAAAUGGCCGGUCGUUGAAAGAAAAAAUGCAAGUUUGACUCCAAGAGCUUCAAAACCGCAUACAAUAUUUAAAAGAUGGCUGAGCGGAGAGUGCGGCACCUUUAACGGCAGUCGCGUUUUGAUCAAUCACCUAUAAUGUACCCCGUUUCGGACGAAAGGCAGUAUCGUCGACACGCAAGUAUCUAUUUUUUGCAAAUCCAACGUUGGAAGCGGAUCUGGUGGUCUACAAACGGGUUGCAAGCGGAUUGAGACCACGAUGACAGGCGGAAUUCGUCAGUUUUUUCAAUGUGUAGCAAGUGUUUUUUCGUGGUUGAAUAAAUGUUUAAAUGUAA